This is a non-coding RNA of Emericellopsis atlantica, 74 nucleotides long. Lineage: Eukaryota; Fungi; Ascomycota; Sordariomycetes; Hypocreales; Bionectriaceae. The record is from the annotation of a RefSeq genome assembly.
AUCACCUUGGUGUAGUGGUUUAGCAUGCGCGCUUCCCAAGCGCGAGGUCGCGAGUUCGAUCCUCGCAGGUGAUA